Molecule: ribosomal RNA, 401 nt
Filed under: uncultured microorganism
Description: bacterial SSU rRNA
Rfam family: Bacterial small subunit ribosomal RNA
Source: RNAcentral
GAGUUUGAUCGUGGCUCAGAUUGAACGCUGGCGGCAUGCCUUACACAUGCAAGUCGAACGGCAGCAUGAUCUAGCUUGCUAGAUUGAUGGCGAGUGGCGAACGGGUGAGUAAUACAUCGGAACGUGCCCUGUAGUGGGGAUAACUAGUCGAAAGAUUAGCUAAUACCGCAUACGACCUGAGGGUGAAAGUGGGGGACCGCAAGGCCUCAUGCUAUAGGAGCGGCCGAUGUCUGAUUAGCUAGUUGGUGGGGUAAAGGCCCACCAAGGCGACGAUCAGUAGCUGGUCUGAGAGGACGAUCAGCCACACUGGGACUGAGACACGGCCCAGACUCCUACGGGAGGCAGCAGUGGGGAAUUUUGGACAAUGGGCGAAAGCCUGAUCCAGCAAUGCCGCGUGUGUG